RNAcentral lists this ribosomal RNA (326 nucleotides) under Escherichia coli. RNAcentral describes it as "partial 23S ribosomal RNA". It matches the Rfam family "Bacterial large subunit ribosomal RNA", at positions 582 to 910 of the family's 2925-position model. Lineage: Bacteria; Pseudomonadati; Pseudomonadota; Gammaproteobacteria; Enterobacterales; Enterobacteriaceae. The record is from RNAcentral.
GAGCAAUCUGUGUGACUGCGUACCUUUUGUAUAAUGGGUCAGCGACUUAUAUUCUGUAGCAAGGUUAACCGAAUAGGGGAGCCGAAGGGAAACCGAGUCUUAACUGGGCGUUAAGUUGCAGGGUAUAGACCCGAAACCCGGUGAUCUAGCCAUGGGCAGGUUGAAGGUUGGGUAACACUAACUGGAGGACCGAACCGACUAAUGUUGAAAAAUUAGCGGAUGACUUGUGGCUGGGGGUGAAAGGCCAAUCAAACCGGGAGAUAGCUGGUUCUCCCCGAAAGCUAUUUAGGUAGCGCCUCGUGAAUUCAUCUCCGGGGGUAGAGCAC